CAAUAGCGUAUAUUUAAGUUGUUGCAGUUAAAAAGCUCGUAGUUGGAUUUCUGGAGGGAGCGUCGGCCCGUAUUUACGAGUGCGUGACGUCUCUGUCCAUCCUUGCGGGAAGGCACGGCAUUGAUUUGUUGUGUCGGAUCGCAUCAUUUACUGUGAAAAAAUUAGAGUGUUCAAAGCAGGCUUUCGCUUGAAUACAUUAGCAUGGAAUAAUAAGAUAGGACUUUGGUGCUAUUUUGUUGGUUGAGCCUAAAGUAAUGAUUAAUAGGGAUAGUUGGGGGCACCUGUAUUGCGUUGUCAGAGGUGAAAUUCUUGGAUUUACGCAAGACAAACAGCUGCGAANGNGUCUGCNAAGGAUGUUUNCAUUA
Molecule: ribosomal RNA, 365 nt
Filed under: uncultured eukaryote
Lineage: Eukaryota
Description: partial 18S ribosomal RNA
Rfam family: Eukaryotic small subunit ribosomal RNA
Source: RNAcentral